This is a long non-coding RNA of Anolis carolinensis (green anole), 614 nucleotides long. RefSeq lists it as uncharacterized. The transcript is spliced from 3 exons. The record is from RefSeq and is a predicted model, not a curated record. Lineage: Eukaryota; Metazoa; Chordata; Lepidosauria; Squamata; Anolidae.
CUAGAAAAGGUAGUUGGGAGUUAAAAGAAGGGCUUAAGACAGGAAGCAGAUCAACAUAAAGCAGAAGUGUGGAUCUGAGAGAGCCAGAAGUGAAGACACAAGAACAUCAGGACAGAGAACACUGAAACGGAUGCCCUUGAUAGUGAUCAUUUUAAAAUGUAAUGGUCACAGAUGUGAGCAGGAGAAGACAAAAUGAGGGCUGGAAAUGGGACUUUGCUUGGAUACCGGCAUACAUGCAUACAUAUAUGCUCACAUCAGCCUAAAGUGUUAUUUCAGACUGAAACUUACAUCAAGUUAGGUUUGCCUCUAUCUGAUAAUCUCAAAGGACCUUAUCUGAUUAGCAGCUGUGGACUCAAUAGUAGGCAUGUGCAAUCCAGGUACACCGCAAUCUGUUUUGUUGUCCCAGAUUGUUGUGGGAGCUCCUGAACCAUUUUUUGGGAGGACAGAAAUCCAUUUUUGAUCUGGAAAACUGAAAUAUUCCUUUUCUAUCUGGCCCAUUAGUGGCAAUGGGGAGGGAGACUUCCCACAGGUGCCCCUUCCCAUCAUUUUAGUCAUUGUUUGUUCUUAUAUCCUUCAUUAAGACCUGGAUUAAAAACAUCAAACUUAAGAUACAA